Long non-coding RNA from Rosa chinensis, 614 nucleotides. RefSeq lists it as uncharacterized. Lineage: Eukaryota; Viridiplantae; Streptophyta; Magnoliopsida; Rosales; Rosaceae. The transcript has 6 exons. The record is from RefSeq and is a predicted model, not a curated record.
CACGAUCCCCAGCCCCAAAAUGGAGUAGGCCUCACUGUCACCAUCUUGUUCUUCACCACCGCACAGGUGGUGGCCAUGGUCGACAGUCUGCCAAUUGUGUGUUCUAGAGCAACUGAGCAGGACGAUGAUGUAUCCACUUCAGAGCCAACUUGAAUUUGUUGUUCUAAUCUAAAGGACAGAAGAUCCCAGCUACCCAGCAAAAGGUUUUUUAAAUUGAGCAUGCAGUCAAGGGAUGUGAAAGACAUACUGCUAUGGCACUUGGUUCUACACGCUUCAAUUGAAGUGGUAUGCUUAUCGUUUAAAGGAAAAGCUCUCAUGCAUCAGCCUUCUCUGCACACAUUUUCCAGAGAUAUCCUAAGUACUUGCCAUCUGUGACAUGGGCAUUUCUUCGAAUGUGUGCUUACGACCUGGCUUCUCUUCUGCUAUAACAAGGAUCUCACAUGAGGGUAGAUGAAAGCUCCCACCUUAUGGCUUACACAAACGAACAAGUGUGUUUCUGUGAGGUUGCAUGAUUAAUCAUAGACACACUUUUGUGAGACGAGGCUUUGCUGAGCAAAGAGGGAGAUGAAGUUUGAAUACAAUUGUUUUGUUUUUAGUCGAAUGUUCUUUUUACU